GGGGACGAUAGGUUUCGAUCGAAGAUCUUUUUAAAAUAAGCAAGCCGAGGACUUCAGCAUCUCGUUAAAAUCUGAAAAAAACAAACGCAAAAACAAAUUUUGCUUUCGCUACAGCUUAAUUUAUUAAGUCGCAGCCACUUUAAUUGAGAUUCUCAAUAGGCGAUUGAAGUGUUAUAGUGCCGAAAGGCAUUUGAGAUAGGUGUCUUGAUUCCCAAUGCAAAACACUGAAAUGAAAUUGGGUCAGGUUAUUCUGAUUUUUGUCUGCUUUUUAUCUAAAUAACCGAGAAAAUAAACAGACCAAGCUUGUCGAAUUAUUUUAAAGAGCCUUCGAGACGGGAGUUCAAUUCUCCCCGUCUCCAUCC
This 362-nucleotide transfer-messenger RNA is filed under the name Patescibacteria group bacterium. It matches the Rfam family "transfer-messenger RNA". Rfam says of the family: Bacterial tmRNA, also known as 10Sa RNA or SsrA, is named for its dual tRNA and mRNA-like properties. Its role is to liberate the mRNA from a stalled ribosome. RNAcentral also lists the same sequence under 2 other names. The record is from RNAcentral.